GCCUCCUGACUAACCAUAAGAGGUCCAGCCUGCCCAGUGACAUUGUUCAACGGCCGCGGUAUCCUAACCGUGCGAAGGUAGCGUAAUCACUUGUUCUUUAAAUGAGGACUAGUAUGAAUGGCUUCACGAAAGCUAUACUGUCUCCCUUAUCUAAUCAGUUAAACUAAUCUCCCCGUGAAGAAGCGGGGAUUAACCUAUAAGACGAGAAGACCCUAUGGAGCUUUAAACAUCUUAAAACAUUUGAAUUUUAUAUUAUUAUCUUCAGAGAACUUAACUAAGCCCAUCACUUUGUUUUAAGUUUUAGGUUGGGGUGACCACGGAGAUAGCCUAACCUCCACGUAGAAUGAAACUUCCUUCUAAGCAAAAAGCUACACCUUUAUGCAUCAAAAUAUUGACCUAAAUUGACCCAAUUACUUGAUCAACGAACCAAGUUACCCU
RNAcentral lists this ribosomal RNA (438 nucleotides) under Allobates marchesianus (dull rocket frog). RNAcentral's name for it is "partial large subunit ribosomal RNA". It matches the Rfam family "Bacterial large subunit ribosomal RNA", at positions 1830 to 2469 of the family's 2925-position model. The record is from RNAcentral. Lineage: Eukaryota; Metazoa; Chordata; Amphibia; Anura; Aromobatidae.